CCUGCACCCAAACCCAAAGGCCCCCCCGUGCUCCUGGGGGGGUUUUGUCUGGCGUGCGAACAGGAAACUGAACCCUGUCGCCUUUCUGUUGCUGCUGUGCUGCGGAAUGUGAAGCAGGGGGCAACACGC
This is a small nucleolar RNA of Pseudoliparis swirei, 129 nucleotides long. RefSeq annotates it as small nucleolar RNA SNORA68. The record is from RefSeq and is a predicted model, not a curated record. NCBI's taxonomy places the organism in Eukaryota, Metazoa, Chordata, Actinopteri, Perciformes, Liparidae. The transcript has a single exon.